GGGGAUGUAGCUCAUGGUAGAGCAUUCGACUGCAGAUCGAGAGGUCCCUGGUUCAAUCCCGGGCGUCCCCU
This 71-nucleotide transfer RNA is filed under the name Penaeus monodon (black tiger shrimp). RNAcentral describes it as "tRNA-Cys". It matches the Rfam family "tRNA". Rfam says of the family: Transfer RNA (tRNA) molecules are approximately 80 nucleotides in length. Their secondary structure includes four short double-helical elements and three loops (D, anti-codon, and T loops). The record is from RNAcentral. Lineage: Eukaryota; Metazoa; Arthropoda; Malacostraca; Decapoda; Penaeidae.